Long non-coding RNA from Homo sapiens (human), 1487 nucleotides. Ensembl annotates it as long intergenic non-protein coding RNA 1661. The record is from Ensembl. Lineage: Eukaryota; Metazoa; Chordata; Mammalia; Primates; Hominidae.
AGAACCCCUAAGCUCAGCUCAGUGGAAGCUAAGCAAUUGGACAAAGCCAUCUAAACCCAAAGCAAUGGCUCGAUGGAGUUCACCAGGGAGGAUCUUGCUCUGAUCUAAAUAUACAGUGGAAAUCUGAUGUGAUCUAGGCUGCUGCACCUCAUCUACUAAAACCAAAUCCUGGAAAAGAUUUCUAUGAGAUGGUUUCUGUCAUUCUUCCUAAACUGGGAGCUAAGUGAUUAAUAUAGAGGAAAACUCACAGAUAAACAUAUCUCUGCAAAUGCAAAUAAGUACUAAAGUGCUGGUAACCAACAUCCCCACCCUGGUUCCUCUUAGCACUUCAGUCAAAGGCACACUUCGAACAGAAGAAUCUGAACCACAAAUUUAGCCAGUCUCUACUACCUUCAGAAAGGCUUCCAGAAGUCAUUUUCCUCCCAGACCUCCUAGAUUUCUAAUUUCUCUAUUCCUGCUAGGAGGGACACUACUACCCAAUCUAGGAGUAUCUUGGAAGAUUCAAGUGGGAAACCAUUCAGAUCUGUCUCUUCCCCUCAUCGCAUCAACAUUUUAAUCUGUCUCUACACAACGCAGGAUUCACAAGGGAAGUCUCAAAUCCCAUAGCGUUGCUUACAAGCAGCGUGACAACAAGGAUGAAGCCAGAGAGGCACCUAUGGUACAAAAUUUUAAAAGCAUGAAUUUCCCUCAACCUUAAGAAGAGAUGGAAUGUUCAUAAUGAGGAAGAAGUCUUCUGAUUUUCUAAAUAGGUAAUCACAACACAGAAGAGUGAAGAAGGACACAGGCUCUUAGCCACCAUGGCCUAAAACUGUCCCACACCUCUUCAACUCACAUCCUACUGUCCACAACCAGUCAUCAGUCAUGUGCAACGUUCACACAUAAAAGCCCUGGAAAAUGAAGGCCAGUGAUUUGCCUAGGAAAAGUACUUGAUUCAGACCCGGUGGCCCCUCUCUGCUGGGUAAGCCUUUGCUAGGCUCUCAGUAGUUCUGAAGACAUUUUGAGUUUCUAUGAAACACUUCAUCUGGCACCUGGUUUAUCUCUGCCUCUGAAAAAUACCUGCAUGACCAAGAACUAUUGUAUAAUGACACCUGGCUUCCACUAUGGCUCCAUAGGAUUCUUACCAGUUCUCGUAUCUGUGUCCAUGCCACACACCAGCAAAGGGACCCGCUAAAUUACAAAAUAGACCCUCUUUGUGGUUGACCAUGAUUCCCAUGUUAGCAUGGAUUUGUUCUGUAUGGUGACCUCUUCAGAUCACUAAUGGGGACUACAGCUAGAGUCCUCCCCAUCUACGAUUUUCAAGCUAUCAAUUUCUCAUGAAUCUGUAUCUUCAAUCCAAUAUCUCACCAACUUCGCUCUCAUCUUCAGUUGUCUCUACUCAUAAUUAUCCCUGGAUGAAAAAGGAGUAAAGUUCCCUUUUACUGCUUCUAUGUUACAUCCUGAGGUAGCUUCCUUUCAUUAUGGAAUAAAUUCUAUGAUGUGAUCCAAAA